Molecule: ribosomal RNA, 117 nt
Filed under: Pogona vitticeps (central bearded dragon)
Lineage: Eukaryota; Metazoa; Chordata; Lepidosauria; Squamata; Agamidae
Source: RNAcentral
AUUGGUAAGUUCUGCCCUGAAUGCACCCGAUCGUGUCUGAUUUUGGAAGCUAAGCAAGGUCUGGGCUGGUUAAAACUUGGAUGGGGAAUCCCUCGGAAAUCCCAGGGGUUGCCAGAU